Chrysemys picta bellii (western painted turtle) is the source of this 456-nucleotide long non-coding RNA. RefSeq lists it as uncharacterized. Lineage: Eukaryota; Metazoa; Chordata; Testudines; Emydidae. The record is from RefSeq and is a predicted model, not a curated record.
UGUCAUGGCAACAGCUGCCUUUGCUAACUGAUUUUCCCCAGACAACCAUGAUACCAUUACAAAGAAGGGUCCGAGGAGGAGCUGCAGUGAGAGCAGUCUGGGGUUGGAUAAGUUCCUGCUUCACUCAUUUGGGUUUGUAUUGGGGUUUGGGUCUGAAAUGUGGAUUCAAAAGAGCAUCCCUCCAAAAAGAAGGGUAAGAGAGCUGCGUCACCACCAUCUUCUGUUUCCAGUUGCCUUAUAAUAGCAGGUAUUGACUGAUCUUAAAACCAUACCUAUCUCCACAUCAGGCAGUCAUCUUCAGGAAAAGAAUAUAUUCCCCUGUUGUGACGAGACAAUGAAUGGUUUCAAGAAUUCAAUCACUACCGUUUUCACAGCCUGCCUAAACGAGAUCCGCCUUCUUCUUCAGUAUAGCAUCCAGCUGCUGCAUUGUAAGCUGUGUUGGCAACAUUUAUGAUA